GGGGGUGUAGCUCAUAUGAUAGAGCACUCGCUUCGCAUGUGAGAGGCACGGGGUUCAAUUCCCCGCACCUCCA
This 73-nucleotide transfer RNA is filed under the name Ipomoea nil (Japanese morning glory). It matches the Rfam family "tRNA". From Rfam's summary of the family: Transfer RNA (tRNA) molecules are approximately 80 nucleotides in length. The record is from Rfam by way of RNAcentral. Lineage: Eukaryota; Viridiplantae; Streptophyta; Magnoliopsida; Solanales; Convolvulaceae.